UACGGGGGGGGCAAGCGUUGUUCGGAUUUAUUGGGCGUAAAGAGCGUGUAGGCGGUUUGGUAGGUCCGUUGUGAAAACUCGAGGCUCAACCUCGAGACGCCGAUGGAAACCAUCAGACUAGAGUCCGGAAGAGGAGAGUGGAAUUCCUGGUGUAGCGGUGAAAUGCGCAGAUAUCAGGAAGAACACCCGUGGCUAAGGCGGCUCUCUAGUACGGUACUGACGCUGAGACGCGAAAGCGUGGGGAGCGAACAGG
RNAcentral lists this ribosomal RNA (253 nucleotides) under uncultured bacterium. RNAcentral's name for it is "partial 16S ribosomal RNA". It matches the Rfam family "Bacterial small subunit ribosomal RNA", at positions 524 to 776 of the family's 1533-position model. The record is from RNAcentral.